UACCAGCACCCCGAGUGGUCGGGACGUUUAUUGGGCCUAAAGCAUCCGUAGCCGGUUCUACAAGUCUUCCGUUAAAUCCACCUGCUUAACAGAUGGGCUGCGGAAGAUACUAUAGAGCUAGGAGGCGAGAGAGGCAAGCGGUACUCGAUGGGUAGGGGUAAAAUCCGUUGAUCCAUUGAAGACCACCAGUGGCGAAGGCGGCUUGCCAGAACGCGCUCGACGGUGAGGGAUGAAAGCUGGGGGAGCAAACCGG
RNAcentral lists this ribosomal RNA (253 nucleotides) under uncultured bacterium. RNAcentral's name for it is "partial 16S ribosomal RNA". It matches the Rfam family "Archaeal small subunit ribosomal RNA", at positions 474 to 727 of the family's 1478-position model. The record is from RNAcentral.